RNAcentral lists this ribosomal RNA (253 nucleotides) under uncultured bacterium. RNAcentral's name for it is "partial 16S ribosomal RNA". It matches the Rfam family "Bacterial small subunit ribosomal RNA", at positions 524 to 776 of the family's 1533-position model. The record is from RNAcentral.
UACGGGGGGAGCAAGCGUUGUUCGGAUUUACUGGGCGUAAAGGGCGCGUGGGCGGCGCAACAAGUCACUUGUGAAAUCUCCGGGCUUAACUCGGAGCGGCCAAGUGAUACUGUCGUGCUAGAGUGCGGAAGGGGCUACUGGAAUUCUCGGUGUAGCGGUGAAAUGCGUAGAUAUCGAGAGGAACACCUGCGGCGAAGGCGGGUAGCUGGGCCGACACUGACGCUGAGGCGCGAAAGCUAGGGGAGCGAACGGG